AGCUUCAGGGUAUUCAUGGGGGCAUUUCCUCCUGAAACCAACGAUGACAACAGAAAAAGGAACAAAGCAAAUAAUGUGAGCACAAUGCAUUAGAAUUUCCAAAAUCUUUUCCAACACUCCAUCUCGUUGCAACAGAACAGUGCUGUUGGUAAAACUGGGGACAAAGAGAAGGCAUCUGUAAUUCGUGAGCUCUGGGUGUGUGCAAUCAGAUGGCAGUUAAGAAAGGCGAGGAACAGUGUAAUUUGCUGGAUUUGGCCAGGGCUGGGCUCCCAAGAGCUGGCGAUUUAACAGAUUGCAGCCCUCAUGUUUUCUGACUUGAAAGAUAAUGAAGCAAUAAAAGCGGCCGAGGCAGCCAGCGAGGAUUCUGCCCCCUGGGGAUGGCUGCGUGAGAGCAGCUGCCCGUGCGGGCACCCGCUCAGGGUGUGACCCAAGAUUGCAGCCCUCCAGCAGACCAGCAACACAGAGGACUAAAUUCCCUCCUUCGGGGACACCAGAACCUCGGCUUCCAGGGUUGUCACUGAGCCGGUGCUAUGCCAGGGCGGCCCAUAUGGUCGAGCGGUUGUCGCCAGAGACACAGAGCACCUCAGCCAUUUUCCAGGCCAACGACUGCAUUUGUCAGACGAGAAAAGCCAGAGGUUAAGGGACUUGCCAAAAGUCACACACGGAGCAGCGACACCACUGUUCACAGGCUUGCUGCGAGGAUGGGAGGCAGCAGCGAGGGGACGGAGCCCUCCCAGCAGUAAACCGCAACUGUGACCCCCUAAUUCAAAGCUCCUCCCCUCGGCGGCAGCGAGGACAACGGCUUUCAGUUUGAAGAAUGGUGGCUGUUACACUAAGAUGGAGCCAGAGCAUCUCGGGAUGCUGUCCGACACUCCGAGGGCAGCAGAACUCUCGCUGGGUGGCUGAUGGCAGACCCAUUCUCUUGCCUCGAAUGCAGCAGACUGACCGCUUCCAGUUAAGUAAAAAUAUCAAAACCGUAACGUGCAUGAGAGCACCUUGGGAUAAAUGCAUUACGGAGCUGUCAUCACAGCUCUCACUCCACCAGUUCCUGCCGUUCAUGUGCGAUGCACAUGGGGCUCCUUGGCAAUCGGGACCACCGCUUCCUUCCAACACAGGUGAUCCGCUUCCUGGGCCGACCUCCGGGUCCUGCCACGACCCUCCCACAGUAGCCAUUUACUCGUUCUACCACUGGUUUUUUGCGUUUUGUUUUGUUUUGUUUUGCACGGAAUUAAUCACCUAUUUUCUACCAACUCGCCAGGCAAACGGGAUCUUUCACUUCCCUCAGUGCUUCUGUAACAGGAGGGGGUUUGAAUGAGAUGGGUGUUUUCCAAACUGGGCUGCUGGGGAGAGCUCUGAGCACUUCAAGGGGCUCACUAGGGGCUGCCGUAAGAAGGGAGUGCCCCGAAGGAGAGACUCUGGGUCCCUGAGCCUAUUGUUUCUGUUUUACAUUUUAGAACCCCACCUGAAAUUUUGUUUCAACAAAGGGUUUGGUGGCCAAAAACCCAUUCAGGAAUUAAAUAAUUAAAUACAUAAAUCAAUUACAUAAAGCUGCUGAGCCACGUGGUUUCUCAGGUCCUGUGCUGUGUUUCUCAGGUCCUGUGCUGUCCCACUCCGCAUGAUCAGCAGUGGACGAUCACAAUGGGAAUGGCCGAAUGAACAGGAGAACAUGCAGCCUGCAGUCUCUGGCGAAGAUCGGGCAGAGGUUUCUGGGCUGUGCCAAGCCACGGUUUUGUUUUACCUCGUGAUGAGGAACAGCUGUGUCCCAAAGGGGCGGCACCUCGCCGCCUCCGCAGUGUUUUGAUAAGAGGCGCGGGGUUGGCGAGUGUGGACGAGAUGAGGAAUCGCGUUUCUCGCAACAGUCCUCGCGCUCCAGGUCACGAGCUAAUCUCCUUUGGGAAACCGAGACCAGAGAUGGGCCUCCCUCUCUCCCUGCUAUCUCAGGGUAUUUUCUGUCACCAUGGAGAAUGGUAGAGGCUGGAAAAGGUCAAAAGGACACGGCCUACGAGCUGAGGCGGCAGAGCAGUGAAGCCUGUUGGAAAGUGCCAGCAUCCAAGAGGAGGAUGGUGAGAACCGUAGAGCCGGGUGCCGGGUCAGUCGGAUGGACACGGGUUCCAAGGCCACCUCUGUGCCGCCAGCUGUGGAUGUCCGAGUCUCAGUUUCCAUAUCCGUACCUAAAGGGCUGGUAGGAGUGAACGAGUUGGGCUGUGCAGGGCCCUUUGGUGUUUCAGGCGAUGUGAGUUGAAGAAGGAAUGAGCGCUUGGUCUUCAGAAGGGGCAGAGACGAGCCGCCAGGUCGGGUCAGAGUCACGGUUAACAAGCUCUCGGCUCCUCACUCCGUCGCUGUUUGGUUUUCACUGCGUCGCGAUUUUGCAGCUUUCCCACUCGGACCACCAACUUUCCUGAGCGUUUAGCCUUCUCUGCCGGCUGCCGUCCCCUCCCUCUCAGAGUCCCCCACCCCCAUCCGCAUCUACUUGAUGAUGACAGGAAUCGCCAGGGGCACCAGGCAGCUCAGAAGUAUACUCCAGGACAUGGCUGUCACACUUUUCUUUUUUCCUAAGACCCACAGUAAGAAAUAUAUUAAUAAAUUUUGCAUUGCAAAUCAACCCACACAUACAUAUAAAUGACUGAUUAAAGAAAUUUCAUGAAACACUCCCCGUCCUUCUUAUCUGCACUCUAUUAUUUUCUUUUCCAUUCCACUUCAUUCCAUUCUAUUCUACUUUAUUUUGCCUUUGAAAGUGCUGGUUACCACCCAGUAAUCUAGUUCAUUAACCAGCUGCCAGUUUGAGAAACACUGGUUUCCGGUGGGACUGCCAUGCCGUUCUCUCUGUCCAGUUGUGGACUGUAUCAGUGGCCCUAGAAACCUGUGUUCCAAUUCACAGCCUAAGAAUCAUCAGGGGCCUUGAUAAAUGUACAAAUUUCCAGGCUCCAUCCCCAGAGAUUUGACAGCGUUUCAGAGACUGGUCAGAACCAGAGUGUCUCGUGGGGUCUCCCUGGCACUGAGAUGGAGAUUCUGAUUCCAGGGAGAAAGCUUCUGAUUGGUCUAGAUGGGUCAGAGAAGGAAGAUGCCUUGAUGGGCAGUCCCACCAACACUGUAUCCCUUGGGGUGGGUAGCUCCCCAAAGUAAGUAGAAGAAAGGGUGAUGGAUGCUGCCAGGGACUGUUUGUGUCGCCCCAAAAUUCAUAUGUUGAAAUUCUGACCCCGAAUGUGAUGGUAUCUGGAGGUGGGGCCUUUGGGUUGAUUAGGUCAUGAGGUAGAACCCUCAUGAAUGGGAUUAGUGCCCUUAUUAGGAGACGCCAGAGAGCUCUCUUGUCCCUUCUGCCAUGUGAGGACACAGGGAAAAGAUGACUAUUUAUAAACCAGGAAGCAGGUCUGACUAGACUCUGAAGCUGCCAGUGCCCUGAUGUGGGACUUCCCAGCCUCAAGAACUGUGAGAAAUAAAAGUCUGUCGUUUAAUAAGCCACCCAGUCUAUGGUAUUCUGUUUUAACAGCCCAAACAGACUAAGACGCUGAGCAGGCAACAUCAAUGUCCACACAGAGACUGUUCUAGAACACCUAGGUAACAGUUUGCUAAGCUCUCCUCUGCUGCUUACAUUCUCCCGUGUGCUUUCUGGGGUGCCUAGCACAGUGCGCGCGGCAGGCAUCCAACGCGUGUGGGUUGCAUGAAAACCAACGUACAGUUGCAUUUUGACCACGAGUCUUGGUCAAAAUGAUUGGGUUUUUGACCCUGUGCUUCAUGUACACAAUUGAAGACAAAAUCCCUGAGGUCCAGUGUCUACUGAUUACAACAGAGUCCAGAAGAUUUUUUUUUUAAUUUUAUUUAACAAACUCUUACCAUGUACAAGCCAGUGUUCUGAGAGCCUUACAAAUAUUAACUUAUUAGGUCUACAUAAAACCCUCUAAGAGAGGUCCUAUUACAUGCCAGGCACUAUCUGAGGUAUUGUACCCAUGUGCUUCUAAGAUUCACACCUCUCCUGUAAGGGGCAGCGAUUAUUUUUUUCCAUAGGCGGACACUGAGACUCGGAGAGGUUAUAUAACUUGUCAUAGGCCCCACAGUAAGCAGCAGAGCUGCACUUUGAACCCUAGAAAGGAGGAAUGAGUCAGGCCAGGAGAAUCUUUGAAACUGCAUUUCAUCCUAGAGAUACCAGUUAGCUCUUGCAUGCUAAGAACAGCCACAGGUUGAAAUGCGCCAAGCCCUGAGGGAAAAAGAGCUCCCUUCUUACAAACAGAAACAGAGACAUGGAACCAAAGUGACUCACAGAAGUUCCCGCUGUGGACAGGACGCCGAUCAACACAUGGAACCUCCAGUGGCUGGCUGGGCAUUCCUAUAGCUUCGAUGUGCCCUCAUUCUGUUAAAAUGCAGUGACAAGGAAAUUCAUCACUGCUCACAUGAUUUUUGUUUUCCAAUGAGAGGAAGAAAGCUCUAUUCACUCACGGAGAGUUUUGUUCAAACAUCAAGCUCUAUUUUAAUUUUCUAGUGGCCAGUAUUGCAGUCAGCCACGCUUUAAAACAAUGACCCCGAAUUCCUCUUGCCUUCAUUGCAGUGACAAUGUUGUUACAGCUGACUAAUACUCUUUCUCAGUCUGUGUGGCUAACCAGCAUUUUCUGAGUUAAAUAUGUCUCUCAAGGUUGUCCCAGGUAGGUUCUGGGAUGGAAACUCUUGCUCCUAAUUUGGAAAAACGGUCCCUAGGGUCAUUUUUCAAUAAUAAAUAACAAGUAUAUAUUUAUUAAUAAAAAUAAACAAGUGGCAUGAUUUGUGGUUUAGAACUGUUCUGUUUAGCUUUUGGAUCCAAAUAUGUUUUCUUGAUCUUGGAUUU
Molecule: long non-coding RNA, 4813 nt
Organism: Equus caballus (horse)
Lineage: Eukaryota; Metazoa; Chordata; Mammalia; Perissodactyla; Equidae
Source: Ensembl